GAUGAACGCUGGCGGCGUGCCUAAUACAUGCGAGUCGAGCGAACAGACGAGGAGCCUGCUCCUCUGACGUUAGCGGCGGACGGGUGAGUAACACGUGGAUAACCUACCUAUAAGACUGGGAUAACUUCGGGAAACCGGAGCUAAUACCGGAUAAUAUAUUGAACCGCAUGGUUCAAUAGUGAAAGACGGUUUUGCUGUCACUUAUAGAUGGAUCCGCGCCGCAUUAGCUAGUUGGUAAGGUAACGGCUUACCAAGGCAACGAUGCGUAGCCGACCUGAGAGGGUGAUCGGCCACACUGGAACUGAGACACGGUCCAGACUCCUACGGGAGGCAGCAGUAGGGAAUCUUCCGCAAUGGGCGAAAGCCUGACGGAGCAACGCCGCGUGAGUGAUGAAGGUCUUCGGAUCGUAAAACUCUGUUAUUAGGGAAGAACAAAUGUGUAAGUAACUAUGCACGUCUUGACGGUACCUAAUCAGAAAGCCACGGCUAACUACGUG
This 497-nucleotide ribosomal RNA is filed under the name uncultured bacterium. RNAcentral describes it as "partial 16S ribosomal RNA". It matches the Rfam family "Bacterial small subunit ribosomal RNA", at positions 28 to 507 of the family's 1533-position model. The record is from RNAcentral.